AUGAACGCUAGCUACAGGCUUAACACAUGCAAGUCGAGGGGCAGCAUUUCAGUUUGCUUGCAAACUGGAGAUGGCGACCGGCGCACGGGUGAGUAACACGUAUCCAACCUGCCGAUAACUCGGGGAUAGCCUUUCGAAAGAAAGAUUAAUACCCGAUGGCAUAAUUAGACCGCAUGGUCUUAUUAUUAAAGAAUUUCGGUUAUCGAUGGGGAUGCGUUCCAUUAGGCAGUUGGUGAGGUAACGGCUCACCAAACCUUCGAUGGAUAGGGGUUCUGAGAGGAAGGUCCCCCACAUUGGAACUGAGACACGGUCCAAACUCCUACGGGAGGCAGCAGUGAGGAAUAUUGGUCAAUGGGCGCAGGCCUGAACCAGCCAAGUAGCGUGAAGGAUGACUGCCCUAUGGGUUGUAAACUUCUUUUAUAUGGGAAUAAAGUUUUCCACGUGUGGAAUUUUGUAUGUACCAUAUGAAUAAGGAUCGGCUAACUCCGUGCCAGCAGCCGCGGUAAUACGGAGGAUCCGAGCGUUAUCCGGAUUUAUUGGGUUUAAAGGGAGCGUAGGUGGACAGUUAAGUCAGUUGUGAAAGUUUGCGGCUCAACCGUAAAAUUGCAGUUGAUACUGGCUGUCUUGAGUACAGUAGAGGUGGGCGGAAUUCGUGGUGUAGCGGUGAAAUGCUUAGAUAUCACGAAGAACUCCGAUUGCGAAGGCAGCUCACUGGACUGCAACUGACACUGAUGCUCGAAAGUGUGGGUAUCAAACAGGAUUAGAUACCCUGGUAGUCCACACAGUAAACGAUGAAUACUCGCUGUUUGCGAUAUACAGUAAGCGGCCAAGCGAAAGCAUUAAGUAUUCCACCUGGGGAGUACGCCGGCAACGGUGAAACUCAAAGGAAUUGACGGGGGCCCGCACAAGCGGAGGAACAUGUGGUUUAAUUCGAUGAUACGCGAGGAACCUUACCCGGGCUUAAAUUGCAUUUGAAUAAUCUGGAAACAGGUUGGCCGCAAGGCAAAUGUGAAGGUGCUGCAUGGUUGUCGUCAGCUCGUGCCGUGAGGUGUCGGCUUAAGUGCCAUAACGAGCGCAACCCUUAUCUUUAGUUACUAACAGGUCAUGCUGAGGACUCUAGAGAGACUGCCGUCGUAAGAUGUGAGGAAGGUGGGGAUGACGUCAAAUCAGCACGGCCCUUACGUCCGGGGCUACACACGUGUUACAAUGGGGGGUACAGAAGGCAGCUACCUGGUGACAGGAUGCUAAUCCCAAAAGCCUCUCUCAGUUCGGAUCGAAGUCUGCAACCCGACUUCGUGAAGCUGGAUUCGCUAGUAAUCGCGCAUCAGCCAUGGCGCGGUGAAUACGUUCCCGGGCCUUGUACACACCGCCCGUCAAGCCAUGAAAGCCGGGGGUACCUGAAGUACGUAACCGCAAGGAGCGUCCUAGGGUAAAACUGGUAAAAGG
This 1446-nucleotide ribosomal RNA is filed under the name uncultured organism. RNAcentral describes it as "SSU rRNA". It matches the Rfam family "Bacterial small subunit ribosomal RNA". The record is from RNAcentral.